GACGAACGCUGGCGGCGUGCUUAACACAUGCAAGUCGAACGGAAAGGCCCUGCUUUUGUGGGGUGCUCGAGUGGCGAACGGGUGAGUAACACGUGAGUAACCUGCCCUUGACUUUGGGAUAACUUCAGGAAACUGGGGCUAAUACCGGAUAGGAGCUCCUGCUGCAUGGUGGGGGUUGGAAAGUUUCGGCGGUUGGGGAUGGACUCGCGGCUUAUCAGCUUGUUGGUGGGGUAGUGGCUUACCAAGGCUUUGACGGGUAGCCGGCCUGAGAGGGUGACCGGACAAAUUGGGACUGAGAUACGGACCAGACUCCUACGGGAGGCAGCAGUGGGGAAUAUUGCACAAUGGGCGGAAGCCUGAUGCAGCAACGCCGCGUGCGGGAUGACGGCCUUCGGGUUGUAAACCGAUUUCGCCUGUGACGAAGCGUGAGUGACGGUAAUGGGUAAAGAAGCACCGGCUAACUACGUG
Molecule: ribosomal RNA, 468 nt
Filed under: uncultured bacterium
Lineage: Bacteria
Description: partial 16S ribosomal RNA
Rfam family: Bacterial small subunit ribosomal RNA
Source: RNAcentral